CAUUUUCAUGUGUGAUUAUACUUGCAGCAAGUCAGAGUUAAAUAUUAUAAGGCGAAAGAAACUAAGACGGUUGAAGAAAUGAAAGAGUAUCUGGCAGAAUACAGAGAUGCCUUGCAAGACAGCAAGAGCUACCGCAAUCAGCUGGAGAAGGAACUACGAAACAUGAAUGCCACGUUAGAACAGCUCAGAGAUAAUCUUGAGGCAUUCAAAGAAGAACUUCAGAAGAAAGAUGAAAAUUCAUUAAGAAAAUCAUAAUUAAAUAA
This is a long non-coding RNA of Actinia tenebrosa (Australian red waratah sea anemone), 263 nucleotides long. The record is from RefSeq and is a predicted model, not a curated record. NCBI's taxonomy places the organism in Eukaryota, Metazoa, Cnidaria, Anthozoa, Actiniaria, Actiniidae.